RNAcentral lists this ribosomal RNA (493 nucleotides) under uncultured bacterium. RNAcentral describes it as "partial 16S ribosomal RNA". It matches the Rfam family "Bacterial small subunit ribosomal RNA", at positions 29 to 523 of the family's 1533-position model. The record is from RNAcentral.
AUUGAACGCUGGCGGCAUGCCUUACACAUGCAAGUCGAACGGUAACAGGUUAAGCUGACGAGAGGCGAACGGGUGAGUAAUGCAUCGGAACGUGCCCGAUCGUGGGGGAUAACGCAGCGAAAGCUGCGCUAAUACCGCAUACGAUCUGAGGAUGAAAGCGGGGGACCGUAAGGCCUCGCGCGAUCGGAGCGGCCGAUGUCAGAUUAGGUAGUUGGUGGGGUAAAGGCUCACCAAGCCAACGAUCUGUAGCUGGUCUGAGAGGACGACAAGCCACACUGGGACUGGGACACGCCCCAGACUCCUACGGGAGGCAGCAGUGGGGAAUUUUGGACAAUGGGCGAAAGCCUUAUCCAGCAAUGCCGCGUGCAGGAAGAAGGCCUUCGGGUUGUAAACUGCUUUUGUACGGAGCGAAAAGGCUCUCUCUAAUACAGGGGGCUCGUGACGGUACCGUAAGAAUAAGCACCGGCUAACUACGUGCCAGCCGCCGCCGUAA